This 444-nucleotide long non-coding RNA is filed under the name Homo sapiens (human). Its description in RNAcentral is "non-protein coding lnc-GPR148-2:10". Lineage: Eukaryota; Metazoa; Chordata; Mammalia; Primates; Hominidae. The record is from RNAcentral.
AUGCUGAUUUCACCACAAGCAACUUCACAACCCAGUACUGGAAUGCCAUCAGCCAGCAGGCCCCUGCCAUUAUCUGUGACUUCUAUCUGUGGCUCAUUGGAAGGAAACCCAGUUUUUCACAAAAUCUGAGGAGCUGAUACGGAAAGCACACCAGAUCUCAUGUGUUGAAAUGUGAACAUGCUCACCACAGACCAAGGACAUUCAACCUGUCAAUCCCCAGGAUUUCCAAGCCAGGAGUUUCAUCUCUUACUUGUGGAAAAUUUGUCCAUUUAAUUGUGAACCAAUCAGCUUUUCAUUGUGUCAAAAUCAAAUCUGGAUAGUGAAAUAUAUAUUUUAUCUUUAUUGUUAUCUUAAAUAUAUCUUGGCUUAAAGAGACAUAAGUAGCUCUUCCCCACUACACCAGAUAAUGAGUUGCAAAUAAAUCAUUCAGUAGUAAAGUUCAAA